CUGCCGAGUCGGAGAGAGCGCGGCGACGACUAACUCGGAUGCCCGUCACGGGAGGUUGGGACCGCGGCGGAAAGACAUUCCCACUUACCUGUUCGUAACGGUCGGCCGACGCGCCGGCGGACAGGGACAACACAAGCAACGGCUACGCACGUAGAAGCAGCUCGCGGAGACCGUCUGGACGGGGAGUUCGAUUCUCCCCCGUCUCCACCA
RNAcentral lists this transfer-messenger RNA (210 nucleotides) under Chloroflexota bacterium. RNAcentral's name for it is "Chloroflexi bacterium partial transfer-messenger RNA". It matches the Rfam family "transfer-messenger RNA", at positions 159 to 374 of the family's 374-position model. Rfam says of the family: Bacterial tmRNA, also known as 10Sa RNA or SsrA, is named for its dual tRNA and mRNA-like properties. Its role is to liberate the mRNA from a stalled ribosome. To accomplish this part of the tmRNA is used as a reading frame that ends in a translation stop signal. Lineage: Bacteria; Bacillati; Chloroflexota. The record is from RNAcentral.